RNAcentral lists this transfer RNA (63 nucleotides) under Homoeocerus unipunctatus. Its description in RNAcentral is "tRNA-Tyr". Lineage: Eukaryota; Metazoa; Arthropoda; Insecta; Hemiptera; Coreidae. The record is from RNAcentral.
GAUAAGAUGGCUGAAUUUUAGGCUAUAAAUUGUAAAUUUAUAUAUGGUGUUAACCUCUUAUCA